GCCUGUUGUGAGGCCAGGGAUUGUGCAGCUUUCCCAGAGCCUGGCAUUUUACAUUGUUUGUAGUCUGCAUUUUGGUGUCAUUACUCAGUGGUAUAAAAGUGCGUGCAUGCGUGUUGGGGGGGAAUAAUUGUGCCAUUAAUGAUUGCUAUUUUGAUUACAGGAUGCAAUUGUCACUGCGGUUGGAAGCCAAUCAACGCGUUGUGAGUGGGAGCCCGCUGGUACUUUCCAAUGGUCCUUGAUUAAAAAGGAAGCUCUUGGCUAUCUUCAAGCAGCAGGAGAGGAAACAGCACGGUGAAGUGCACCUGCAGGUUAUGCAGACUGUUGCUGGCCUCUUCACACACUCCGUCUCUUUGCAGUUGAAGAAGCAUGCAACUGGAAUCCAGAGCAAAGCAAGUGACAAGAGAGGUUGGCUCUCACCCCAGCCCACAGAGAGGAUUUCAAUUAUCUGGUGGGAAACACAUGGCCUCUGGUACCUGGAGUGCUCUUGUCUGGCUUGAGAGUUAUCUGAUCUUCUGUUUUGCUACGGUUAAAUGAAAGUGGAGAUGUAUUUGGAAUUUAAAGGUGUAUGUUCCUACAUAAGCUGUGUUAGCCAUUAAUAUGGAAUUGAACUUGCUGCAUAAAAAGGUCCCUGUCAGACCAUGGCCUUGUACUGUGAUGUGUUUGCUACAUGAUAUUCAGCCCCACAAAAAACAACAGAAUGUAAACAAGCUUCAAUAGUCACUCAGUCUAACUGCAGGCGUCUGUGUCCUAUGCUUUCAGAAUCAUUCCCAUAGCUGCAAAGGGGUCUAAAAACCUUAUUAUGCUCUUUUCCCCUUAUAAACCUUGCUAAUGCAUCCUUCUUUUUAGCUUGUUAAAUGCUGAAAGGCAAACACU
This 873-nucleotide long non-coding RNA is filed under the name Coturnix japonica (Japanese quail). Its description in RNAcentral is "lncRNA (ENSCJPG00005020832.1)". The record is from RNAcentral. Lineage: Eukaryota; Metazoa; Chordata; Aves; Galliformes; Phasianidae.